AGAUUGAACUGAAGAGUUUGAUCCUGGCUCAGAUUGAACGCUGGCGGGAUGCUUUACACAUGCAAGUCGGACGGCAGCACGGGCUUCGGCCUGGUGGCGAGUGGCGAACGGGUGAGUAAUGUAUCGGAACGUGCCCAGUAGCGGGGGAUAACUACGCGAAAGCGUGGCUAAUACCGCAUACGCCCUACGGGGGAAAGCGGGGGACCUUCGGGCCUCGCACUAUUGGAGCGGCCGAUAUCGGAUUAGCUAGUUGGUGGGGUAACGGCCUACCAAGGCGACGAUCCGUAGCUGGUUUGAGAGGACGACCAGCCACACUGGGACUGAGACACGGCCCAGACUCCUACGGGAGGCAGCAGUGGGGAAUUUUGGACAAUGGGGGCAACCCUGAUCCAGCCAUCCCGCGUGUGCGAUGAAGGCCUUCGGGUUGUAAAGCACUUUUGGCAGGAAAGAAACGGCACGGGCUAAUAUCCUGUGCAACUGACGGUACCUGCAGAAUAAGCACCGGCUAACUACGUGCCAGCAGCCGCGGUAAUACGUAGGGUGCAAGCGUUAAUCGGAAUUACUGGGCGUAAAGCGUGCGCAGGCGGUUCGGAAAGAAAGAUGUGAAAUCCCAGGGCUUAACCUUGGAACUGCAUUUUUAACUACCGGGCUAGAGUGUGUCAGAGGGAGGUGGAAUUCCGCGUGUAGCAGUGAAAUGCGUAGAUAUGCGGAGGAACACCGAUGGCGAAGGCAGCCUCCUGGGAUAACACUGACGCUCAUGCACGAAAGUGUGGGGAGCAAACAGGAUUAGAUACCCUGGUAGUCCACGCCCUAAACGAUGUCAACUAGCUGUUGGGGCCUUCGGGCCUUGGUAGCGCAGCUAACGCGUGAAGUUGACCGCCUGGGGAGUACGGUCGCAAGAUUAAAACUCAAAGGAAUUGACGGGACCCGCACAAGCGGUGGAUGAUGUGGAUUAAUUCGAUGCAACGCGAAAAACCUUACCUACCCUUGACAUGUCUGGAAUCCCGAAGAGAUUUGGGAGUGCUCGCAAGAGAACCGGAACACAGGUGCUGCAUGGCUGUCGUCAGCUCGUGUCGUGAGAUGUUGGGUUAAGUCCCGCAACGAGCGCAACCCUUGUCAUUAGUUGCUACGAAAGGGCACUCUAAUGAGACUGCCGGUGACAAACCGGAGGAAGGUGGGGAUGACGUCAAGUCCUCAUGGCCCUUAUGGGUAGGGCUUCACACGUCAUACAAUGGUCGGGACAGAGGGUUGCCAACCCGCGAGGGGGAGCCAAUCCCAGAAACCCGGUCGUAGUCCGGAUCGCAGUCUGCAACUCGACUGCGUGAAGUCGGAAUCGCUAGUAAUCGCGGAUCAGCAUGUCGCGGUGAAUACGUUCCCGGGUCUUGUACACACCGCCCGUCACACCAUGGGAGUGGGUUUUACCAGAAGUAGUUAGCCUAACCGCAAGGGGGGCGAUUACCACGGUAGGAUUCAUGACUGGGGUGAAGUCGUAACAAGGUAGCCGUAUCGGAAGGUGCGGCUGGAUCACCUCCUUU
This 1535-nucleotide ribosomal RNA is filed under the name Bordetella pertussis 18323. RNAcentral's name for it is "bacterial SSU rRNA". It matches the Rfam family "Bacterial small subunit ribosomal RNA". The record is from RNAcentral. Lineage: Bacteria; Pseudomonadati; Pseudomonadota; Betaproteobacteria; Burkholderiales; Alcaligenaceae.